CCUUCGAUAGCUCAGUUGGUAGAGCGGUGGACUGUAGUUGGCCAAAAACAAAUCAGAAAUCCAUAGGUCGCUGGUUCAAAUCCGGCUCGAAGGA
Molecule: transfer RNA, 94 nt
Filed under: Trichomalopsis sarcophagae
Lineage: Eukaryota; Metazoa; Arthropoda; Insecta; Hymenoptera; Pteromalidae
Rfam family: tRNA
About the family: Transfer RNA (tRNA) molecules are approximately 80 nucleotides in length.
Source: Rfam by way of RNAcentral